Molecule: small RNA, 27 nt
Filed under: Bombyx mori (domestic silkworm)
Lineage: Eukaryota; Metazoa; Arthropoda; Insecta; Lepidoptera; Bombycidae
Description: ovarian small RNA-9222
Source: RNAcentral
UGUUGUAUUAUUGGGGCGACGGUGUCA